AGAGUUUGAUCAUGGCUCAGAAUCAACGCUGGCGGCGUGCCUAACACAUGCAAGUCGAGCGAGAAAGGGUAGCAAUACCUGAGUAAAGCGGCGCACGGGUGAGUAACACGUGGGUAAUCUGCCCUAGAGUGGGGAAUAACACCGGGAAACCGGUGCUAAUACCGCAUACGAUCGCGAUGUCUUCGGAUGUUGCGAUGAAAGGAGCAAUUCGCUCUUGGAGGAGCCCGCGGCUGAUUAGCUAGUUGGUGAGGUAAUGGCUCACCAAGGCUACGAUCAGUAGCCGGUCUGAGAGGACGGUCGGCCACACUGGAACUGAGACACGGUCCAGACUCCUACGGGAGGCAGCAGUGGGGAAUUUUUCGCAAUGGGGGCAACCCUGACGAAGCAACGCCGCGUGGGUGAUGAAGUAUCUCGGUACGUAAAACCCUUUCGACGGGGAAGAAACCGCAAGGUUGACGGUACCCGUAGAAGAAGCCCCGGCUAACUCCGUGCCAGCAGCCGCGGUAAUACGGGGGGGGCAAGCGUUGUUCGGAAUUACUGGGCGUAAAGGGCGCGUAGGCGGUUCGCUAAGUUGAAUGUGAAAACUCUGGGCUUAACCCAGAGCCUGCAUUCAAUACUGGCGGGCUAGAGUUCUGGAGGGGAUAGCGGAAUUCCUGGUGUAGCGGUGAAAUGCGUAGAUAUCAGGAGGAACACCGGUGGCGAAGGCGGCUAUCUGGACAGAGUCUGACGCUGAGGCGCGAAAGCUAGGGGAGCAAACAGGAUUAGAUACCCCAGUAGUCC
RNAcentral lists this ribosomal RNA (780 nucleotides) under uncultured bacterium. RNAcentral's name for it is "bacterial SSU rRNA". It matches the Rfam family "Bacterial small subunit ribosomal RNA", at positions 8 to 796 of the family's 1533-position model. The record is from RNAcentral.